This 207-nucleotide ribosomal RNA is filed under the name uncultured bacterium. RNAcentral's name for it is "partial 16S ribosomal RNA". It matches the Rfam family "Bacterial small subunit ribosomal RNA", at positions 568 to 774 of the family's 1533-position model. The record is from RNAcentral.
CUCGUAGGCGGUUCGUCGCGUCCGGAGUGAAAGUCCAUCGCUUAACGGUGGAUCCGCGCCGGGUACGGGCGGGCUUGAGUGCGGUAGGGGAGACUGGAAUUCCCGGUGUAACGGUGGAAUGUGUAGAUAUCGGGAAGAACACCAAUGGCGAAGGCAGGUCUCUGGGCCGUUACUGACGCUGAGGAGCGAAAGCGUGGGGAGCGAACA